This is a non-coding RNA of Chaetomium strumarium, 108 nucleotides long. The record is from the annotation of a RefSeq genome assembly. Lineage: Eukaryota; Fungi; Ascomycota; Sordariomycetes; Sordariales; Chaetomiaceae.
GGCAAGAUGGCCGAGCGGUCUAAGGCGCUACGUUAAGGUGUAUCCUUAAUCCCAACCUCCAAGGUUCCGUAGUCCGAAAGGGCGUGGGUUCGAAUCCCACUCUUGUCA